This 379-nucleotide long non-coding RNA is filed under the name Homo sapiens (human). RNAcentral describes it as "HSALNT0292401". Lineage: Eukaryota; Metazoa; Chordata; Mammalia; Primates; Hominidae. The record is from RNAcentral.
GGAUUUUGCAGAGAAAGUAACUGUGACUCCAAAGGUGAAAUGUCUUAUCCCAGGUGACACAGCCAGUAAGUGGUUCAGGUGUGGGGACAGAGCUGAAGACCAAGCAACACAGGUAGCACCUCUGAGGUUGGUGGGGACCCCAAGACCACCUACCCACAGGAAGUAGGACUCCCUCCUAACCAUGUGAGCUAAGCUAUAAAGACCAGCAUGGCGCCUGGGAUUACUAUGGAUUCAAAAAACUUUGCAAAAAUAUUUUGGAGGCUGGACUCAUCACCAGGUACCCAUCAUAAGGUCUUUAUUCAUUCAAAGCCUUGAUCAACUGAGCACUAAGCAUCACCUCAUCAAAAUCACCUGGAGUGCAGUUGGAGGCUGCAGUGAG